Brassica oleracea var. oleracea is the source of this 106-nucleotide small nucleolar RNA. It matches the Rfam family "Plant small nucleolar RNA R71". From Rfam's summary of the family: R71 is a member of the C/D box family of snoRNAs containing the C (UGAUGA) and D (CUGA) box motifs. The record is from Rfam. Lineage: Eukaryota; Viridiplantae; Streptophyta; Magnoliopsida; Brassicales; Brassicaceae.
AAUCCAUGGUGAGGGUAUUCUCUGCGGUAGUCAUUAUAAUGCUUCAUGCUUCGCAAAAAGGCUCAUCAGUGAGCUGUCUGAAAGAGGUAAUCUUGUUCCUCAAUGC